Ornithodoros turicata is the source of this 664-nucleotide long non-coding RNA. RefSeq lists it as uncharacterized. The record is from RefSeq and is a predicted model, not a curated record. The transcript has 2 exons. NCBI's taxonomy places the organism in Eukaryota, Metazoa, Arthropoda, Arachnida, Ixodida, Argasidae.
CCGCCGGCUCUAAAGCGAAACGCACCGCCUCCAAAAUAAUGUCGCCACCGGCGCGCGUACGCUAACGAUCUCUGAUUGGCUGCGCAAUAUAUGUAUAAAUAUUGGGAUGCUCAUUGGUCUAAAAAACUGGCGUCAGUUUCCUUUGCGCUGAUUGGGCGAGAGUCAUUUGACUGAGGAGCGAGCAUCCGAACGCGCGAACCGCUCAACGGAAGCAGUCGAACGGAGGAGAAUCACGUCUGUUCGGCCACGCGUGUUCUCUCGGACUGCAACCGUUGUGCACGCAGACGCUAGGGGGUAGUUUGAGGGUUUUGAAUGCUUUAGAUUUAGAUUGUGGCGAACUGCUAAUGUGAGAACGGAAUGGCACAUCCACCUCAUCAUCACAACAGCGGGAAGACGAACAUGUGAUGGAAUCCCUGCACCUCCAAAGGACGCAGAAAUCGUCAGAGAGGAAGUCUGCACUCUUUCCGACGUACUGCAGGUGAACGUUCUACCGCAGCCAUCGGCAACAACGACGCACAUAGCCCAGCAUUGGCUUUUGAACUGCCCUUCGAUGUCGAAGCACCUAAAGCUCCAGUGAAGCCUGUUACAAGACGUAAAAAGAUAUGUACUGUAGCUUUUUCGAGGCAGUUUCCGAGGACAAAUAAAGUUGAUUUGUCAUACAUCA